AUGCCACAGCUCGAUCUGGAGUCCCUCUUCUGCGUCGGCGGCGGCGAGUCCAGGUCGACGAAGGUCGCCUGCGAGACCAUCGCGGUCGCAGCCUCCGACGUCGACGUCGCCAGCGCCCACGAGCAGUCGCGCCGGAUUAUCUGGGCCUGGUCCGGGCCAACCGGCGCGGCGCUGGAGCGGGACGGGUCGACCAAGGGCAGCUCCAACCCCAAGACCGCGGCAGAAGAGACGACGCGUAACAAGGGCGCGUCGAGGGCGCCGAGGAGGUUGGAGUUGGAGGCAAUCGUGGUGGGCGUUCUGCCUGCCGGGAAGAUGGUCGUGCAGCAGAGGCGCCCUCCUGUGGUCGGCCGCGGCUGGCGCCGGCCGGCCGCAGGGGCCAGGGUGUUCGCGAGCGAGGCCGUGGGCACGGAGCCCGUGUCCCCGAAGGUGUCGUGCUUUGGGGCUGUGCGGUCCGAGAGCCGCGCGGCGGCGCCUGCACCUGCGCCUUCGCCGCGCGGGGAGGAGGAGCAGGUCGAGGAGCGGAGCGGGUGCUGGGCGAGCGUCGCCUCCGCGCUUCGUGGCUUGCUAUGCGGCUCUGACUCGGACAACCGUCGGGAAGGUGAAUCUGGGGCGAGUGAAUCGAAGCCCGCGGUGUCGGGGUCGCCGACGGUGGACGGUCCAGUUCUGUCGCCGCCGCGGCCGGUGCUGGGUCUGGGAGACGUGAAGCAAAUUGCUUCGCGGCGGUGGCCGGAUGGAGAUGGGCGGUGCUUGGUUUGA
Molecule: ribosomal RNA, 756 nt
Filed under: Triticum aestivum (bread wheat)
Lineage: Eukaryota; Viridiplantae; Streptophyta; Magnoliopsida; Poales; Poaceae
Description: partial small subunit ribosomal RNA
Source: RNAcentral